RNAcentral lists this ribosomal RNA (253 nucleotides) under uncultured bacterium. RNAcentral's name for it is "partial 16S ribosomal RNA". It matches the Rfam family "Bacterial small subunit ribosomal RNA", at positions 524 to 776 of the family's 1533-position model. The record is from RNAcentral.
UACGAAGGGGGCUAGCGUUGCUCGGAAUUACUGGGCGUAAAGGGCGCGUAGGCGGAUGGUUCAGUUGGGGGUGAAAGCCCGGGGCUCAACCUCGGAACUGCCUUCAAUACUGGCUAUCUUGAGUACGGGAGAGGUGUGUGGAACUCCGAGUGUAGAGGUGAAAUUCGUAGAUAUUCGGAAGAACACCAGUGGCGAAGGCGACACACUGGCCCGUUACUGACGCUGAGGCGCGAAAGCGUGGGGAGCAAACAGG